Molecule: ribosomal RNA, 253 nt
Filed under: uncultured bacterium
Lineage: Bacteria
Description: partial 16S ribosomal RNA
Rfam family: Bacterial small subunit ribosomal RNA
Source: RNAcentral
UACAGAGGGUGCAAGCGUUAAUCGGAAUUACUGGGCGUAAAGCGUGCGUAGUCGGUCAUUUAAGUCGGGUGUGAAAUCCCCGGGCUCAACCUGGGAAUUGCGAUGGAGACUGCAAGGCUAGAAUCUGGCAGAGGGGGGUAGAAUUCCACGUGUAGCAGUGAAAUGCGUAGAGAUGUGGAGGAACACCGAUGGCGAAGGCAGCCCCCUGGGUCAAGAUUGACGCUCAUGCACGAAAGCGUGGGGAGCAAACAGG